This is a long non-coding RNA of Halichondria panicea, 3291 nucleotides long. RefSeq lists it as uncharacterized. Lineage: Eukaryota; Metazoa; Porifera; Demospongiae; Suberitida; Halichondriidae. The record is from RefSeq and is a predicted model, not a curated record. The transcript is spliced from 2 exons.
UUCAAGUCUAAAAUUGAUGGCUGCAUCAACAAAGCCUUGUAGCUCUCUUCUCACUCUUGCAGCUACCAAUAGCUAGCGUUCUAGUGCAGAGCUAACUGCUAAGUAGAGUAGCAACACUCGGUGAACAAGUUUUGCUGAGCACUCUUGAAAAGGCUGCAAUGGCAUUCCAAGUAAGCAAAACUAGGCAUAACUCGAGAACAAAGCAUUAUUUUGCAAAUCCCUGAAUUAAAAUCCAAGAAAACAUAACUAGAAGCCUAUAAAAACUCUUACUUGCACUUCAUUAAUCCUUGAGCAGCUGUAGCAGUCUACACAGACAGACAGACAGACAGACAUGCAGACACACAAACACCGUAUACCUCGCUGCGCAUGCACACCGAGGUAUAAUUAUGCUGACAUAGCAAUAAUUGCCUUCGUGUGUUUUGGCAAACAGCUACACACACCACGUGGAUAAAUGCGCAUGCUCAAUAGUAUUGCCAAUAUCCAUAUAGCGGGUAUAUUUCGAAGGUAUAAAUUUUCGCGGAUUUAAUUUUCGUGGAAUAACAGCCUUUUUGCAGCAUGCAUGCAUGCGAUAUUAAAUUUGCAAUUAAUUAGGCCCUGAUAAAAUUAAUUAUGCUUUUUUCACCCAUUAUUCUAUUCUUUAAUUCUUGAAAAAUGUGCCUAUUAUUCUAAUCCGAUUAUUCUCUGAUUAUUCUCAUAAAAAUGUAUCCUAAAAAAUGUGACAUAUAAUCAGUAGACUCUCGUUAAUCCGGUCACCCUUGGGACCAUGCAGCUUGGCCGGAAUAGCGAGGUGGCUGUAUCUCAGGAAAUAGCCGCGGCUUAAAAACGACCCUACCUCGAAUCUAAUGACUAAUUUUGCGGUUCUUGUCUCGAGGAUAAUGUUAUCUAUUUAAGUGUAAUCCAAUUUUAUUUGCUAAACCACGGUAAACGGAAUAGCGAGUGGCCGUACUUCAGGGUGAGUUUUGUGCAGUAAACAUAUAGCUAUAUAGCAUUCCGUGCCAAGCCAAAUGGCCGGUAUAUCGAGGUGGCCGUACUUCAGAGAGCCGGAAUAGCGAGAGUCUACUGUAGACAUAAACACAACACACGACUGACACAUGACAUAUUAAUUAAUAUAUCAUGGUUCUCAGUGUUAUCUUGCUGACUUGAACCAGGAGCCCAUAAAGAGAAGGAGCGGCUAACUACGGGGAUCACAUCUCGUAAUUGGUUAUGACCGCAUUUCCAUAUAUGCAGGGUCACUAAGUGGUUGAAUCCCUACACGUGUUAUACGCAAUGCAGGGAUGCGGUUUGCAAGCACUUAGUCGCUUCCAUACAAGGAAGUGCGAUUUCACCGGCAAUUACGAGACGUGAUCCCCGAGUGUACGUUGAAGUUAGCCGCUCCUUCUCUUUAUGGGCUCCUGCUUGAACUGAUCCACUAGAACAUCAUUAUGCAAAACUUAAUGUAAUGAUCUUUACCAAAAAUGAACAUUGAUGCCUAUUAUUCUUUAGUGCUGAUCACAUGAUCUCCAGCCAAUCAGCUUAUCUGAAAGCAGUCAGGUAACCAUGGAUUAAAUAACUUAAUCCACACUUAAGUGUGCUUUAAGUUGGUUAAGUGUGCUUUAACCCUUUCCCGGCUUUAGCCGUCAUAUGACGGCAGCGGUAGUGAUAAUUUUCAAAAAAUCAUUGUGGGCGCUGUGUGGAGCUAUGCUCACGCUGUAGGUACCAGCACAUGCGCAUUGGGCUGCUCUUUCACAUGGUAUCUUUAAUAUCUUGCCUCGAGGUACGCUUCAUGCAGUACUGUCGAAAGAAAAGUGACCGUUUGAUAAUGGCUACAAGAUCUUUGUAGUACAACCUCAGCGAGGUUCUAGGGCAGCUAGACAGUGAGAAUAACGAUGCUUAUGGCCUUGUUGAGUAAGAGGACAGUGACUGGGAUCAUACCAAGAGAGGAAACUACUUUUCAGAGGUCAAGCUAUAAAUAUAGAGCCUGAAGAACCAGAGGAAGAAGCUCCUGAGCAUGAACCAAAGUCCUGGACCUUGUGAAGAAAACAUUUCCCGGGAAAAGAGCGUCUGCCGAUACGACCUCGCAGAGAAGUUUCUGCUGAUCCUGAUUGAACCAUGUCACCGUGAGAACAUUGAGAACACUUAUUUAGUGUCUUUAGUUACUUCAUGCCUUCAUACAAUAUUCAUAAUUGUGAAAUGUGUAAAAAAAUCGUUAAUUAGUGGGGGGUGGUCAGUUGCUAGGUAACGAUGAUGAUGUCAUGGUACCCCCAGGAUAUGGGCUACCUGUAGGAAAUAGUUGCAAGUGAUUACAAUGCAUAGUUUACAAUGCAUAGUUCAUGAGAUAUGUAUUUUUAAAGAAAAAUGUGUAUUUAUUCUGUAUUUAAGUUUUUUUAAUUAAAGCCGGGAAAGGGUUAAGUAGGUUUGUUAAUGCACACUUUUUAUCAAACAACCAUAAUACAAGCAGAUUGAAUCUGAAUGUCAUCAUAAUUAUAAUAAUAAUACAAGCAGAUUGAAUACGUACACAGCAAAGCUGAAAAGUAUUAGAAAGUUGAAUGUUAUCGUUUCGACUUGUUUCAUGUGUAGUAAGUGUACCGAAUUGCUGACUUGACCAUAGCAUCGCUUUUUCAUCUGGAGAAAUAGACUCAGCUUGCUUCGAAGAUGUACGUACCUGUACCUAAGCCAGAUCCAUAUAAUCGUUUCAUCAAAGGUGCUUCGAAUAUCAUAGCGUUCCAAAAGAGCAAACCAGAUACUCAUUGGCAUAUAGUUUGCGCACAAAGUUUCCCAUCCAGUAAGCCAGAUCAGCUGGAGGCAUAUCCAGUAGUGGGAUCGGGACUGCACUGUUGGUCAGCAGGAGAAAUAAGUCGAGAACAUGCCCAGUCAGUCCAGAUAGCUUUAGAUAGUAUCUCCUUCUCCUUUGCAUCAGUUACUGGAUCUACAAACCUACUAAAACUUGCUAUUACGCCUAGCUAGCUAGCUAGCCACCAGCAACUGAUUUAAAAUGUAGCUAGAUCUAGCUGCCACGAGGCUAGAGCUCACGUGACAGCACUAAAUCCUUUAGAACACACCUAGCCAAGUCACGUGUUUUAAUCUGGUGCACUCGGAUGGCCUCUCGGUUACGUAAUGCACUCGGCUGCGCCUCGAGCACCACGUUAACCUCGAGGCCAUCCUCGGCACGCAGAUUAAAACACUUAAUCUUGGCUAGGUGUGUUCUAAAUAAUACUUAGACACCUAUUAUAUGCUAAAAUUAUUCCGAGCAUAAUUUAUCAGGGCCUAUGCUUAAUCCGUGAAAACCACAAACAUUUAUACCCUCGAAAUAUA